AACCCCCAGCUAGGCUGGGGGUUCCCGAAAACUUAUAGUUAUGCGUAGGUUAUAAACACUCCUUUUGAUUUGCUAAGAAAGAGGUGCGGUCUGGCAACUGCGC
This 103-nucleotide small RNA is filed under the name uncultured Mailhella sp. RNAcentral's name for it is "STnc490 Hfq binding RNA". It matches the Rfam family "STnc490 Hfq binding RNA", at positions 1 to 102 of the family's 124-position model. Lineage: Bacteria; Pseudomonadati; Thermodesulfobacteriota; Desulfovibrionia; Desulfovibrionales; Desulfovibrionaceae. The record is from RNAcentral.